GAGGGUAUAGCUCAGUGGCAGAGCACAUGCUUAGCAUGCAUGAGGUCCUGGGUUCAAUCCCCAAUAUUGCCA
This 72-nucleotide transfer RNA is filed under the name Camelus bactrianus (Bactrian camel). It matches the Rfam family "tRNA". Rfam says of the family: Transfer RNA (tRNA) molecules are approximately 80 nucleotides in length. Their secondary structure includes four short double-helical elements and three loops (D, anti-codon, and T loops). RNAcentral also lists the same sequence under 2 other names. The record is from Rfam by way of RNAcentral. Lineage: Eukaryota; Metazoa; Chordata; Mammalia; Artiodactyla; Camelidae.